Molecule: ribosomal RNA, 253 nt
Filed under: uncultured bacterium
Lineage: Bacteria
Description: partial 16S ribosomal RNA
Rfam family: Bacterial small subunit ribosomal RNA
Source: RNAcentral
UACGGAGGGUGCAAGCGUUGUCCGGAUUUAUUGGGUUUAAAGGGUGCGUAGGCGGCUGUUUAAGUCAGCGGUGAAAGACUCCGGCUCAACCGGGGCAGUGCCGUUGAUACUGGACAGCUUGAGUGUUGGAGGGGUACAUGGAAUUGAUGGUGUAGCGGUGAAAUGCAUAGAUACCAUCAGGAACACCGAUAGCGAAGGCAUUGUACUGGCCAACAACUGACGCUGAGGCACGAAAGCAUGGGGAGCGAACAGG